RNAcentral lists this ribosomal RNA (733 nucleotides) under uncultured bacterium. Its description in RNAcentral is "bacterial SSU rRNA". It matches the Rfam family "Bacterial small subunit ribosomal RNA", at positions 57 to 779 of the family's 1533-position model. The record is from RNAcentral.
GCAAGUCGAGCGGUAACAGAGAGUAGCUUGCUACUCUGCUGACGAGCGGCGGACGGGUGAGUAAUGCUUGGGAAUAUGCCUUAUGGUGGGGGACAACAGUUGGAAACGACUGCUAAUACCGCAUGAUGUCUACGGACCAAAGUGGGGGACCUUCGGGCCUCACGCCAUAAGAUUAGCCCAAGUGGGAUUAGCUAGUUGGUGAGGUAAUGGCUCACCAAGGCGACGAUCCCUAGCUGGUUUGAGAGGAUGAUCAGCCACACUGGGACUGAGACACGGCCCAGACUCCUACGGGAGGCAGCAGUGGGGAAUAUUGCACAAUGGGCGCAAGCCUGAUGCAGCCAUGCCGCGUGUGUGAAGAAGGCCUUCGGGUUGUAAAGCACUUUCAGUAAGGAGGAAAGGUUAAGUGUUAAUAGCACUUAGCUGUGACGUUACUUACAGAAGAAGCACCGGCUAACUCCGUGCCAGCAGCCGCGGUAAUACGGAGGGUGCGAGCGUUAAUCGGAAUUACUGGGCGUAAAGCGUACGCAGGCGGUUUGUUAAGCGAGAUGUGAAAGCCCCGGGCUCAACCUGGGAACUGCAUUUCGAACUGGCAAACUAGAGUGUGAUAGAGGGUGGUAGAAUUUCAGGUGUAGCGGUGAAAUGCGUAGAGAUCUGAAGGAAUACCGAUGGCGAAGGCAGCCACCUGGGUCAACACUGACGCUCAUGUACGAAAGCGUGGGGAGCAAACAGGAUU